UACGGAGGGUGCGAGCGUUGUCCGGAAUCACUGGGCGUAAAGGGCGCGUAGGUGGCCUGUGGAAGUCUGCGGUGAAAGCCCGGCGCUCAACGCCGGGUCGGCCGUGGAUACUCUCGGGCUUGAGCUUACUAGAGGCAGAUGGAAUUCCGGGUGUAGCGGUGAAAUGCGUAGAGCUCGGGAAGAACAUCGGUGGCGAAAGCGCUCUGCUGGACUGCAACUGACACUCAGGGACGAAAGCUAGGGGAGCGAAUGGG
Molecule: ribosomal RNA, 254 nt
Filed under: uncultured bacterium
Lineage: Bacteria
Description: partial 16S ribosomal RNA
Rfam family: Bacterial small subunit ribosomal RNA
Source: RNAcentral